GGGGGUGACCAGGGUUCGACGGGGAUAGUUGAUACCAAAGCCGCAGGUCGAGCGACCCAAUGACUCGUUAAUCCAUCGGGACUAAACACAAAAGCAGACUCUACUGAGUACGCUCUGGCUGCUUAAGCCAGCGUUUCUGGGGAUAUGCGGCCCACAGAUCCCCAGGGGCGUAGCUAAACGGGCUGGUCUUAUUAGGUGGUAACUAGCCUAAUUUGAUAAGAAAACUCUAGUUUCUCGCUCCGAAGUCACCUGUCCGCUGGCGGCCGACGAGUUAAAACCAAAUAACGGAACAAACCUGUAGAAACUUUGGGGGAAGAUCUUCGGACGCGGGUUCAAUUCCCGCCACCUCCACCA
Molecule: transfer-messenger RNA, 354 nt
Filed under: Deltaproteobacteria bacterium
Lineage: Bacteria; Pseudomonadati; Myxococcota; Myxococcia
Rfam family: transfer-messenger RNA
About the family: Bacterial tmRNA, also known as 10Sa RNA or SsrA, is named for its dual tRNA and mRNA-like properties. Its role is to liberate the mRNA from a stalled ribosome. To accomplish this part of the tmRNA is used as a reading frame that ends in a translation stop signal.
Source: RNAcentral